UAUGUAGGGUGCAAGCGUUAAUCGGAAUUACUGGGCGUAAAGCGUGCGCAGGCGGUUUUGUAAGUCUGUCGUGAAAGCCCCGGGCUCAACCUGGGAAUUGCGAUGGAGACUGCAAGGCUUGAAUCUGGCAGAGGGGGGUAGAAUUCCACGUGUAGCAGUGAAAUGCGUAGAGAUGUGGAGGAACACCGAUGGCGAAGGCAGCCCCCUGGGUCAAGAUUGACGCUCAUGCACGAAAGCGUGGGGAGCAAACAGG
This 253-nucleotide ribosomal RNA is filed under the name uncultured bacterium. Its description in RNAcentral is "partial 16S ribosomal RNA". It matches the Rfam family "Bacterial small subunit ribosomal RNA", at positions 524 to 776 of the family's 1533-position model. The record is from RNAcentral.